This is a long non-coding RNA of Octopus sinensis (East Asian common octopus), 1077 nucleotides long. RefSeq lists it as uncharacterized. The record is from RefSeq and is a predicted model, not a curated record. Lineage: Eukaryota; Metazoa; Mollusca; Cephalopoda; Octopoda; Octopodidae. The transcript is spliced from 3 exons.
UUUAUACAAAUGUUUAUACAUUGUAAGACAGACUUUAGGUCUAUACCUAGAGGUCAAUUAAUUUCUAUAGUAAAAGUUGUGAGAGUAUUGUUUAUUCAAAAUAUAGUGAAAAUCAUAGUGAAAAUUCUUUAUAUUAUUAUUAAGGGAGUAGCAUUACUUAUUAAACUUAGAAUAGAAUUAGGAAGUAUUAGCAAUUUAUUUGAUUUAAGUUGGGUUAAUUAAAUUAGAUUAAAUUAAAUUAACUAUAUAGUCAAUUACAUUUUUGGCAACGUACAAAUACCAUUUGUUUCUUUGUGUUCUAAAACAGGUACAGUUAGAAAGAAAGAACACCAGUGGAAGAGCUCGCGGAUAUCUAUUUAAAAUAUUUAUUAGAGUUUUGCUUUUUUAGUAAACACAAGAUAGUCAUAGCUCUAUACGAUUAUUCUAUACGAUUUUUAUUUAAAAUAUUUAAGAGUCUUAAUUUUUGAGUGAAUACAAGAUUGACCUAAUUCGAUACGGUUAUUUAACAAAUUUUUAUUUUUUCUAUGCCUUAAAAUUUCAUAUGUCUCCAUGGAGCAGAGUUGGCAACCUACCCAGUUAUUUCUAUAAGGCAUCGCUCUUCUAACUAUUUCCCAAUAUUUAAUAUUAUUUUUGAGUUCCCAGAUCUUACUUGAAAGUGUGGUGCAACCAGCUUUAUGACGUAACUUAAAUGAGGAGAUAUGGUUGCUAACUCUUUGUUUAAAUUUUAUAGUACAACCUAAAUAAAAAGAUUUGCUAUUCUCAGUAGUUAUGGUACAUUUAUAGAUUACGUUACUUACCCCACACAGACCAGGUGCCGGGCAUUUUGAUUUAAUUCUACAAUUACACCUAGGGGAUCAUCUUAUACAUAUAUAUAUAUAUAUAUAUGUGUGUGUGUGUGUGUGUGUGUGUGUGUGUGGUAUGUUGUAUGUAUAUGUAUCUACCUAUAUGUAUGUAUGUAUGUUAUGUAUGUAUUGUAUGCAUGUGAUGAAUGUAUAUGUAUGUAUGUAUAUAUGUACAAAGCAAUUAACAAUGCGAUAUAAUAUCCUGGGACAACAGUAAAUCACCUGGUUAGUAUUU